This 468-nucleotide ribosomal RNA is filed under the name uncultured bacterium. RNAcentral's name for it is "partial 16S ribosomal RNA". It matches the Rfam family "Bacterial small subunit ribosomal RNA", at positions 28 to 507 of the family's 1533-position model. The record is from RNAcentral.
GACGAACGCUGGCGGCGUGCUUAACACAUGCAAGUCGAACGGAAAGGCCCUGCUUUUGUGGGGUGCUCGAGUGGCGAACGGGUGAGUAACACGUGAGUAACCUGCCCUUGACUUUGGGAUAACUUCAGGAAACUGGGGCUAAUACCGGAUAGGAGCUCCUGCUGCAUGGUGGGGGUUGGAAAGUUUCGGCGGUUGGGGAUGGACUCGCGGCUUAUCAGCUUGUUGGUGGGGUAGUGGCUUACCAAGGCUUUGACGGGUAGCCGGCCUGAGCGGGUGACCGGCCACAUUGGGACUGAGAUACGGCCCAGACUCCUACGGGAGGCAGCAGUGGGGAAUAUUGCACAAUGGGCGGAAGCCUGAUGCAGCAACGCCGCGUGCGGGAUGACGGCCUUCGGGUUGUAAACCGAUUUCGCCUGUGACGAAGAGUGAGUGACGGUAAUGGGUAAAGAAGCACCGGCUAACUACGUG